AUUGAGCCAUCAGAAUGGUUGCCUUCCUUGUGAUGACUGCCAGGUACACUUUAAGGAAUAUUAGACUGUCUCAUAACUAGUGUCCUCAGCACUGCAUUAAAGCAUAAAUAUACUACUAGUCUUAUAUGGGGAUCGUGUGUGGGGUUCUGUUGUAUAUUUUGCUAACAAUGUGUGUUGCUGUGCAAUCUUUGAUGACCCCGUGACAGUGAAAGAAUGAAUCACUUCUGUAACAAGUUAGUGUUGAGUACUAACUUUCUCAUUUUUUAUUAUUAUUAC
Nanorana parkeri is the source of this 276-nucleotide long non-coding RNA. RefSeq lists it as uncharacterized. The record is from RefSeq and is a predicted model, not a curated record. NCBI's taxonomy places the organism in Eukaryota, Metazoa, Chordata, Amphibia, Anura, Dicroglossidae. The transcript is spliced from 3 exons.